CUGCUGCCUCCCGUAGGAGUCUGGUCCGUGUCUCAGUACCAGUGUGGGGGACCUUCCUCUCAGAACCCCUAGACAUCGUCGCCUUGGUGGGCCGUUGCCCCGCCAACUAGCUAAUGUCACGCAUGCCCAUCCGUUGCCGGAAUCGCUCCCUUUGGCCGCAGGGCUAUGCAGCCCCGCGGCGUUACGCGGUAUUAGACGGGAUUUCUCCCGAUUAUCCCCCUGCAACGGGCAGGUCGCAUACGCGUUACUCACCCGUGCCG
Molecule: ribosomal RNA, 260 nt
Filed under: uncultured bacterium
Lineage: Bacteria
Description: partial 16S ribosomal RNA
Source: RNAcentral